UGCCAGCAGCCGCGGUAAAACGUAGGAGGCGAGCGUUAUCCGGAUUUACUGGGUGUAAAGCGCGUGCAGGCGGUAAGAUAAGUUGGGUGUGAAAGCUCCUGGCUCAACUGGGAGAGGUCGCUCAAGACUGUCUAACUAGAGGAUGGUAGGGGAAGGUGGAAUUCCGGGUGUAGUGGUGAAAUGCGUAGAUAUCCGGAGGAACACCAGUGGCGAAAGCGGCCUUCUGGACCAUCACUGACGCUCAGACGCGAAAGCUAGGGGAGCAAACGGGAUUAGAGACCCCGGUAGUCCUAGCUGUAAACGAUGUGAACUUGGCGCUGGGUGGGUAAAACCGUUCAGUGCCGUAGCAAACGCGAUAAGUUCACCACCUGGGGACUACGGCCGCAAGGUUAAAACUCAAAGGAAUUGACGGGGGCCCGCACAAGC
RNAcentral lists this ribosomal RNA (426 nucleotides) under uncultured bacterium. RNAcentral describes it as "bacterial SSU rRNA". It matches the Rfam family "Bacterial small subunit ribosomal RNA", at positions 506 to 930 of the family's 1533-position model. The record is from RNAcentral.